RNAcentral lists this ribosomal RNA (449 nucleotides) under uncultured bacterium. RNAcentral describes it as "partial 16S ribosomal RNA". It matches the Rfam family "Bacterial small subunit ribosomal RNA", at positions 29 to 523 of the family's 1533-position model. The record is from RNAcentral.
AACGAACGCUGGCGGCAGGCCUAACACAUGCAAGUCGACCGCCCCGCAAGGGGAGUGCCGCCCGGGCGAGGAACGCGUGGGAACCUGCCCUUCGGUUCGGGACAACCCAGGGUAACCAGGGCUAAUACCGGAGGAUCCCCGCGAGGAGGAAAGAUUUCUCGCCGGAGGAGGGGCCCGCGUCGGAUUAGGGAGUUGGUGAGGUAACGGCCUACCAAGCCGACGAUACAUAGCUGGUUUGAGAGGAUGAUCAGCCACACUGGGACUGAGACACGGCCCAGACUCCUACGGGAGGCAGCAGUGGGGAAUCUUGGACAAUGGGGGCAACCCUGAUCCAGCCAUGCCGCGUGAGCGAUGAAGGCCUUCGGGUUGUAAAGCUCUUUCGUGGGGGAAGAUAAUGACUGUACCCCAAGAAGAAGCCCCGGCUAACUCCGUGCCAGCCGCCGCGGUAA